ACUAGGAAAACCUACCACUAAGACAGGUUUCAGCGACACCGUGGCGUGAACUUAUCCCGUGGUGUGAUCCAUGAUGGCGGAGGGGUGGUGAGUGCUGCGGUCCACUCGAGUGAGUAGGUCGGAGGCCGGAGAAACAAGUACAACGCAAAGAGUACUACCACAGAAUGUAGAAGGUGAAAAAACACCUCCGACAAGAUGAAGAAGCUUAAGUCCGCCGUAUUCCUCCUGGGCCACAACUAGACCGACUGCCCUCCUGGGCCGAUGACGUCGCUGGAUCGGGAAAAAAUGCUCUUACCGGGGAAGGUGUAUCGUCUGGUUGUACAGCGAUGAGACCUUACUCAAACCUACCCUAGGCCAUAUAAUAUAUAUGACUGUCAAACACAUGAUUAGUUAGUUAGACAUAUUAUAAAAAGAAUCUCUAACAAAUGUGGGACAUAUUAGAAGAGAGAAAAACCUAUAACCGAUGACGUCUUCAGCUUAGAAUAGAUACCACUAGUCGGUUGACCCUGACCCAAGUCGAUGUCGAGACUAAGCACACUAUGGGUGGUAUUGCUUCAACUCCACUUGGUCUCACUAAUAGGAAUAAACACUCAACGUUAGUUCUACGUUUUUACCGGAAGACACAAAAAGGAGUAUUCAAGGAACGUAGAAAUCCGUACGUUAAAACUAUCCGGAAGAAGUUCCUCGUAUACUCGACCGAUACACAUCACGAGGUCUUACGAAACGAAACUGACUAAAAAUCACACCACUGAUAAAGACAGAUAUUUUAACUCUUUCGUAAUUCUAAUAACACACACUAUAUAAAUCUUUCGUUAAUACAUUUUUUCCGUGUAUUCGGUCUUGGAUAUUUGGAUUUUGACUAUAACUUCUAAAAAUAUUAAUCUUGACUUCCCAAAUAUUAAUCUUAUAAUUAUGCCAAAGUGAGAAGUAUCCCGUGAACAUCGUUGGUGUAAUACUUUCCUAGCUGCUCCUUGCUAGACUAUACGUAACCACCGCUACUUCCAUCUUAAGGUUAUAUAGGAGGUUGUUCUGAAAUCAUGAUGGACACUACCUGCGGUAGUGGAUAAGAUUGAGAGCGUUCAUGGAUUACUAUAUACUACGGUGGUCGAUGAGACUACAUGGCACAUUUGAUGGCACACUAGAGGGACAUGAAAACACGUGCACAGGGGAAACCCUGCAGAAAGGUAGGAAAACAUGAGAUAGAUAGCACAUACUUGUAACAUAGGAAAUCAAGUGGGACAUAUACUUGUAACGUA
Molecule: ribosomal RNA, 1256 nt
Filed under: Triticum aestivum (bread wheat)
Lineage: Eukaryota; Viridiplantae; Streptophyta; Magnoliopsida; Poales; Poaceae
Description: partial small subunit ribosomal RNA
Source: RNAcentral